GAUGAAGAACGCAGCGAAAUGCGAUAAGUAAUGUGAAUUGCAGAAUUCAGUGAAUCAUCGAAUCUUUGAACGCACAUUGCGCCCUCUGGUAUUCCGUGGGGCAUGCCUGUUCGAGCGUCAUUAUAACCACUCAAGCUCUCGCUUGGUAUUGGGGUUCGCGGUUCCGCGGCCCCUAAAAUCAGUGGCGGUGCCUGUCGGCUCUACGCGUAGUAAUACUCCUCGCGAUUGAGUCCGGUAGGUCUACUUGCCAGCAACCCCCAAUUUUUACAGGUUGACCUCGGAUCAGGUAGGGAUACCCGCUGAACUUAAGCAUAUCAAUAAGCGGAGGA
This 329-nucleotide unclassified non-coding RNA is filed under the name soil metagenome. RNAcentral describes it as "partial contains 5.8S ribosomal RNA, internal transcribed spacer 2, and large subunit ribosomal RNA". The stretch from base 1 to 120 matches the Rfam family "5.8S ribosomal RNA", at positions 35 to 154 of the family's 154-position model. The record is from RNAcentral.